UGAGGGGAGUGAAAUAGUAUAUGAAACCGCAAGCCUACAAGCAGUGGGAGCACUAUACUCUUGCUUCGGCAAGAGAAUGUGUGACCGCGUACCUUUUGCAUAAUGAGCCGCCGAGUUACUUUAUUUAGCAAGGUUAAGCCGUUAGGUGUAGCCGUAGCGAAAGCGAGUCUGAAUAGGGCGUUUAGUUAAGUGGAGUAGACCCGAAACCGGGUGAUCUACCCAUGGCCAGGGUGAAGCGAAGGUAACACUUCGUGAAGGCCCGAACCCACUGAUGUUGCAAAAUCAGGGGAUGAACUGUGGAUAGGGGUGAAAGGCCAAUCAAACUACGUGAUAGCUGGUUCUCUCCGAAAUGUCUUUAGGGACAGCGUUAUAUGUUGCGCUUUGGAGGUAGAGCACUGAUUGAGCUAGGGGGCCAAAAAGCUUACUGAACUCAGUCAAACUCCGAAUGCCAAAGUGUAUAAAUAUAGCAGUGAGCCUGUGGGGGAUAAGCUCCACAGACGAGAGGGAAACAACCCAGAUCAUCAGCUAAGGCCCCUAAAUGUAUGUUAAGUGUGAAACGAUGUGAGAGUGUUCAGACAGCCAGGAGGUUGGCUUAGAAGCAGCCAUUCCUUUAAAGAGUGCGUAACAGAUCACUGGUCGAAUAUUCUCGCGCGGAAGAUUCAACGGGGCUAAACAUACUACCGAAGCUAUGGGAUUUUAUUAAUUCAGAUUUCUAUAUCCAGGAGGUAAGAUCGGUAGGAGAGCGUUGUAUGGACAGCGAAGUAACAACGUGAGUUAGUUAUGGAGACCAUACAAGUGAGAAUGUUGGCAUGAGUAGCGAAGGAAGAGUGAGAAUCUCUUCCGCCGAAUGUCCAAGGGUUCCUGGGGAAGGUUCG
RNAcentral lists this ribosomal RNA (875 nucleotides) under Acidimicrobiales bacterium. RNAcentral describes it as "partial 23S ribosomal RNA". It matches the Rfam family "Bacterial large subunit ribosomal RNA", at positions 530 to 1368 of the family's 2925-position model. Lineage: Bacteria; Bacillati; Actinomycetota; Acidimicrobiia; Acidimicrobiales. The record is from RNAcentral.